This 462-nucleotide ribosomal RNA is filed under the name Micrococcus luteus. RNAcentral's name for it is "bacterial SSU rRNA". It matches the Rfam family "Bacterial small subunit ribosomal RNA", at positions 921 to 1377 of the family's 1533-position model. Lineage: Bacteria; Bacillati; Actinomycetota; Actinomycetes; Micrococcales; Micrococcaceae. The record is from RNAcentral.
CCCGCACAAGCGGCGGAGCAUGCGGAUUAAUUCGAUGCAACGCGAAGAACCUUACCAAGGCUUGACAUGUUCUCGAUCGCCGUCGAGAUACGGUUUCCCCUUUGGGGCGGGUUCACCGGUAGUGCAUCGUUGUCGUCAGCACGUGUUGUGAGAUGUUGGGUUAAGUCCCGCAACGAGCGCCACCCUCGUUUCACGUGGCGAGCAUCUCGUGGGGGGGACUCCUCGGAGGAUGCCGGGGUCAACUCGGCGGAAGGUGAGGAUGAGGUCAAAUCAUCAUGCCCCUUAUGUCGUGGGCUCCAUGCAUGUUAGAAUGGCCGGUACAACGGGGUGAGACAUUGCCAGGUCGAGCUAAUCCCAAAAAGCCGGUCCCAGUUAGAAUUGGCGUCAGCACCUUGUCCCCAUGAAGUCCGAGUCGGUUGAAAUUGUAGUCCGGUAUCGCUUCGGUUUACACGAUCCCGGCCC